This 253-nucleotide ribosomal RNA is filed under the name uncultured bacterium. Its description in RNAcentral is "partial 16S ribosomal RNA". It matches the Rfam family "Bacterial small subunit ribosomal RNA", at positions 524 to 776 of the family's 1533-position model. The record is from RNAcentral.
GACGGAGGGUGCAAGCGUUGCUCGGAAUCACUGGGCGUAAAGGGUGCGUAGGCGGUCUCGCAAGUCUGGCGUGAAAGCCCAAGGCUCAGCCUUGGAAGUGCGCUCGAAACGGCGAGGCUGGAGUGCCGGAGGGGAGAGUGGAAUUCCCGGUGCAGCGGUGAAAUGCGCAGAUAUCAGGAGGAACACCGAUGGCGAAGGCAGGUCUCUGGGCCACUACUGACGCUGAGAAGCGAAAGCAUGGGGAGCGAACAGG